AAGGGCAAUAUAUUUCCUCUCCCGGCAGCAAGUGAGAAGGCCGGUCUCAAGGGGCUUCCGCCCCUCUCGUUGCGUGGAGCGAGGAGUGGCGCCGAGCUGCCUCUGCCUCUCGGCAGUGCUGCGGGAGGUCGCCGGGGGGCGGUGGAGGUGCGGCCGUGCCACAGCUCUUCAGCGAGCCGCGGGCCUGGUGCGGGGUCCCCAAGCCAGCGGGUUCAGCGGCUGAGGCACCGUGAGUGCCGCGGGCGGGGAGCGCAGGGCUCGGCCCCGGGAGCCCGGCCUCUGGCGGUGGGUGUCCGCUCCCGUGAGGUGAGGGCGGGCCUGGCUGCACCUCCCGUCCGCGUCAGGCUCGGAGAGGGAGAGCUGGGGCUUCGGCCCUGUCCUAGCUUAAUCCUGCCCCGGGUUAAGGUGCUAUUUGUGCCGGCCUGUGGGAAGUUAGUUUUAGGGAUGCGGGGCGCCUCGGCCAGGUAGAGCUUGAAGUGGUGUUAGGUAGCGGCUGUGUUUGCCUCAGCUGAGCAGCAGCGUGCUGGGGCCUCGGACCUGGUUCUCUGGUACCUCGCUGUUGGUAACAGUCUCUUUGUCUCCAUGGCUCUGCUUUGUCUCCAUGGCUCAUGGCUGCCGUGAGAGCGGUCCCGGGUGAUGCCUGGCUGAGUUGGUACGGGUGGUGGAGUUUCCCCGUGGUUUGGAUAUGUAUGUAGGAAGGCCUGGCACUAGUCCUUACCAGCCUGCUGUGAGCACUGGGAUGUGUCUUUCCAAAUCAAGAGCAAGCCACUGUUGAAAGGAAGGCUGAGCAACAAUGCUACAGUAUUUAAAAACAUCCGUCUUCAGGGGAGGGGGAACCCUUUGGAAGGACGUUAUCGAUCUUAGAAGCAACUGACGCAUCGACAGCUCUGUUGAGGCAGAAUCUGAGCAAGCAAUGAAAAACAGUGGAUUAGACAGACACAGAAGAUUACACUUCCACCUGUUCUGAUUCAGGGCAUGUGAGAAGAAAAAUUAAUCAUUUAGCCAUCAAAACCACUCAGCAGUACUUGAAUCAGGUGCACAAGGACAGCAUAAAACUAACUGAAAGGAUAUUGGCUUUGGAAGAACAACCUCUUCAGAAGCUCUCUAAAAUGCCAUCUACCUGCUCUAGACAGUUUCAUCAUGAACACAGAAAUCUCAAAGGCUGUCCCAGGUUCAAGGAAGAUUAAUUUAAAGCUAAUUGAUCAAUUUAAUCACUUUUAAUUCAAGGAGAUCCUAGAAUGUGCAGUUGGGACUCCUAGGAACACUUUCAGUUAUUUAAAAUGUGUAACACCUUUUUUAAAGGUGGAGGGCUUGCAUCAAAUUUGGCUGUGAAGUGCUGUGCACAGUGUUUGAUACUACAGACAUUCUGGGAUGGUUUACUUGUGGCCUUCUGUGCUUUUUCCAGGGGCAAAAUGUGAGCAAGUUUGGUGAAUCAGGGUCUGAUGUAACAGGAAUUCAUGCAGAUUGUACUUCGGACUUACAAGAGCCAUAGCAGCAGCCUGUAAGGAAAGCUUGAUGGUUGACCCUUGCUGUAUAUUCCACUGUGGCAGAAGAAAAUAGCAAGUGAGAGAAGAACAGAUGAAGUUCAUUUCAGACAAGUAUUGUUACGUGAGGGUUGCAUUGUGACCUCUCCUUGUAAGUAUGCUGAAGAACAAAGAAUCCCCAUCCUAAACUUUUUUUUUAAAACCAUGUCAAAAUGACACUAGCAGUGGCCAGAGCUCCUUUGAGAGUAUGGGACUGCUGUGGGGCUUGCUUGCUGCUCUAGCGUGCGAAGAGACCAGUGGUGGUUGUGAUUCUAAGCGUAUGUGAUGUCAAAAUAAACAGGUCACUUAACUC
This is a long non-coding RNA of Strigops habroptila (Kakapo), 1836 nucleotides long. RefSeq lists it as uncharacterized. The transcript is spliced from 4 exons. The record is from RefSeq and is a predicted model, not a curated record. NCBI's taxonomy places the organism in Eukaryota, Metazoa, Chordata, Aves, Psittaciformes, Psittacidae.